AAUAUUGUACUAUGGGCGAAAGCCUGAUCCAUCCAUCCCGCGUGUGUGAAGCAGGUCUNCGGAUUNUNUAGCACUUUAAGUUGGGNGGAAGUGUUUUAGUUUAAUACUCUGCAAUUUUGACGUUACCGACAGAAUAAGCACCGGCUAACUUCGUGCCAGCAGCCGCGGUAAUACGAAUGGUGCAAGCGUUAAUCGGAAUUACUGGGCGUAAAGCGCGCGUAGGUGGUUCGUUAAGUUGGAUGUGAAAGGCCCGGGCUCAACCUGGGAACUGCAUCCAAAACUGGCGAGCUAGAGUACGGUAGAGAGUGGUGGAAUUUCCUGUGUAGAGGUGAAAUGCGUAGAUAUAGGAAGGAACACCAGUGGCGAAGGCGACCACCUGGACUGAUACUGACACUGAGGUGCGAAAGCGUGGGGAGCAAACAGG
RNAcentral lists this ribosomal RNA (424 nucleotides) under uncultured bacterium. Its description in RNAcentral is "partial 16S ribosomal RNA". It matches the Rfam family "Bacterial small subunit ribosomal RNA", at positions 360 to 776 of the family's 1533-position model. The record is from RNAcentral.